GACGAACGCUGGCGGUGUGCUUCACACAUGCAAGUCGAACGAGGUAGCAAUACCUAGUGGCGGACGGGUGAGUAACGCGUGGGAAUCUGCCUUUAGAUGGGGGAUAACGGGUCGAAAGACUCGCUAAUACCGCAUAUGACGAAAGUUGAAAGGAGUAAUCCGUCUAAAGAUGAGCCCGCGUCCGAUUAGCUAGUUGGUAGAGUAAAAGCCUACCAAGGCGACGAUCGGUAGCUGGUCUGAGAGGAUGAUCAGCCACAAUGGGAACUAGAGACACGGCCCAUACUCCUACGGAGGCAGCAGUGGGAAUUUUACGCAAUGGGCGAAAGCCUGACGUAGCGACACCGCGUGAGCGAAGAAGCCCCUGGGGUGUAAAGCUCUGUCAGCUGG
Molecule: ribosomal RNA, 387 nt
Filed under: uncultured bacterium
Lineage: Bacteria
Description: bacterial SSU rRNA
Rfam family: Bacterial small subunit ribosomal RNA
Source: RNAcentral